UGAGAAAUCUGCUCAAUCUGAUCAUCAGCCAAUCUGUACUCUGAGGAAGGUGCUCUGCUGUCUGGCUGCUGAACUGGUGUGUGCCUUUUGGUGAACUCUGAAGGGCCAGCCUCUGGGUUUGAAACAAACUGGAUAUCUGGAGAUGCUGCCCUGAAGUCAUGGAGAGGAGAUGAGGGACCUUCUUCCUCAGCUCUGUCCUCAACUCUAUCCUCAGCUCUCUCCUCAGCUCUUUCUUCUGUACCCUUGAUCCAACCACCAUCAAUCCUAGUGAAUCCCAUGCGGUGCAGAAUGUGUUGGUUGAUGGUGUCUGCGUGAGAAAGCUUAGCAGAUGCCUCCCCAUCG
This 342-nucleotide long non-coding RNA is filed under the name Elaeis guineensis (African oil palm). RNAcentral's name for it is "long non-coding RNA (EGUI_LNC053521)". The record is from RNAcentral. Lineage: Eukaryota; Viridiplantae; Streptophyta; Magnoliopsida; Arecales; Arecaceae.